AUACCAUUGCCAACUAUGAGCUGGUCUACAAAGAUGGGGAGCAUGGAGAGGAGCAACGAAUUACCAUUGAGCCAGGGACAUCAUAUAGGCUGCAAGGACU
Non-coding RNA from Macaca mulatta (Rhesus monkey), 100 nucleotides. Lineage: Eukaryota; Metazoa; Chordata; Mammalia; Primates; Cercopithecidae. The record is from RefSeq and is a predicted model, not a curated record.